Molecule: long non-coding RNA, 930 nt
Organism: Camponotus floridanus (Florida carpenter ant)
Lineage: Eukaryota; Metazoa; Arthropoda; Insecta; Hymenoptera; Formicidae
Exons: 2
Source: RefSeq, a predicted model, not a curated record
AAGCUCGCAACGAACAGAUUACAGAAUUGCAUUCGCUACUUACUUGAAUCAAUCAAAGUUAAAACUGUGUAUCUAUAAAGAAAAAGUGAAAAGAAAUUAGAAAAAAAAUAAUUAACAAAAUUUCGAGCAAGUAAAACGUUUAAAUAAAUGCGAGAAAAUUAAUAAAAUUUGAAAUUAACAGGAAAAAAAUAAGUGAAAAAUAGAAAUAGCGAUAUUUGAACUUGAAUUUUUUAACGCUUAUAUUAUUUGAAGCAUCGCGAGUUCUGAAGCAUUGUUAAAAAAUGAAGUUUCACGUAAACAUUUUAUUGAAAAUUGUGAUAUUAGUGACAAUUGUAAUUCCACCUGAAUCUUGUCAAGAGGAAACGUCAAUGAAUGAGACAUUGAUAAAUGAAACAUCUUCAAAUGAAACAUCUUCAAAUGAAACAUCUUCAAAUGAAAUGUCGGAUAAAGGUUUCGUGCUUGAAGUAAUUCCAUAUAGUAUUUUAUAUGUUCUGGAUAAAGAUGUGGAACCUUCACAAUCGGAUUGUAAAGAGGGUCAAAAGAAAGAUACCUAUGGAAAAUGUCGAAAAAUACUUUAGCACGCAAAGAAGGUCAGCUCCAAUGUACCAUUAAAGUUGGCAAAGCGCAAGGAUGGAAAAGCAGAAGGGAAGCAUCUUAAAGGACUAACUAGAAAGAGGAGAAAAGCAAGAGAAAGAAAGAGCGAGUACGGAAUUAAAUAAAUAAAAUUCUUAUGCUGUAUGUUACAGUAGAUUGAAUCACUUACUUCAUUUCCUCUAUGUUUUUUCACAAAUAAUUCUUUAUACCUGCAGUUUUCUACCGUUUCGUCAAAUAUAAGAAUAAAUGUAUUUCCUAACAUUUUCUCUCAAUAUCUUUCAAGAUAUUGAGAAAAAAUAUAUAACUUUUGUAUAAAGUAUAUUAUCAGUUUCUUGA